GGUUACUAUCAGAAUGAAAUGAUAACUUUGCAAAAAUAUCCAUCAAAGAGAUACCAUAUAUAUCAAGAACCACUAAUUCAAAAUAAUUAAACCAGCUAACUGAUUAUAAUUGUCACACGUCAGACUGCUGGUAGAAUCUUGUCUACAUACUUCGGCUCUAUUGAAUUAUUUGUUGUCCAAAGAGAUUGGUACAAAAGACCAAGAAGACAUAGUUGUACAAGAGACUGACCAUUUUAUAAAGUAAAUAGAAUUAAAUUCUGAGCAUAACUUUUUCCUUCUCAUUGCAGCUCAUUUGGGAGCAUAAUCUUCUAAAAAUCUACCAUAUAGUAUUUCUUACGGAGAUAAUAAAAUUGCACUAUUUGAAAAAGGAACAAGUUACUCUCAGCUACUUCAACAUAGGAGACAUUCAAAAGGAGGACAUUAUUUCAUCAGAUAACUAAAUUAAUUGGAAUUCAAAAUUACAUGUCAAAUAAUUCUAAAGAAUUUAGCAUUUCCUCUUUUACCCGGCUAAACCAAAUUAAUUGGAAUUCAAAAUUACAUGUCAAAAUAUAGCUAAUAAUUCUAAAAUUUAGCAUUUCCUCUUAUACCCGGCUCAUAGAAAAUGAAGAAGAUCACAACUUAGUCAAUAACUCCCAUAGCUGCUGAUGAACAAUAAAUAAUCUACAUAUGUUUACCUUUAAAUCUUCUAUAAUUCACUCAUACUAAAAUCUUCAUUAAAAUUUUCAUUUCGUACUAACAUUUGACCAACAGUAACUCAUCUAAAAAUUCCAUCUUUUUAAUCAAUUACUCAUACCCCAAUAUGCCCAAAAAUUUCACUUAAUUACAAAGUGGGUAUGCACAAAAACAAAAAUUUCUUAAGCAAUAUCACUAAUUACUUCUUAGAAGAACGAGCAGAGAUGAACCCACAUGGAAUCCUGAACUGUGGCAAUAACCCAACUGCCAUGCAUGAAAAUCAAAAUAAAAAAUGAAAAAACAUUAAAGUUUCAAACUUUGAGCAAUUAAGCGUUCAGUGAA
RNAcentral lists this long non-coding RNA (1014 nucleotides) under Nicotiana benthamiana. RNAcentral's name for it is "long non-coding RNA (NBEN_LNC012566)". The record is from RNAcentral. Lineage: Eukaryota; Viridiplantae; Streptophyta; Magnoliopsida; Solanales; Solanaceae.